UACGGAGGAUGCGAGCGUUAUCCGGAUUUAUUGGGUUUAAAGGGUGCGUAGGCGGGAUGCCAAGUCAGCGGUAAAAAUGCGGUGCUCAACGCCGUCGAGCCGUUGAAACUGGCGUUCUUGAGUGGGCGAGAAGUAUGCGGAAUGCGCGGUGUAGCGGUGAAAUGCAUAGAUAUCACGCAGAACUCCGAUUGCGAAGGCAGCAUACCGGCGCCCUACUGACGUUGAGGCACGAAAGCGUGGGGAGCAAACAGG
RNAcentral lists this ribosomal RNA (252 nucleotides) under uncultured bacterium. RNAcentral describes it as "partial 16S ribosomal RNA". It matches the Rfam family "Bacterial small subunit ribosomal RNA", at positions 524 to 776 of the family's 1533-position model. The record is from RNAcentral.